UACGUAGGGGGCGAGCGUUGUCCGAAUUUACUGGGCGUAAAGCGCGUGUAGGCGGCUUUUUAAGUGAGAUGUGAAAUCCUGCAGCUCAACUGCAGAACUGCAUUUCAAACUGGAAGGCUUGAGUGUGGGAGAGGAAAGUGGAAUUCCUGGUGUAGCGGUGAAAUGCGUAGAUAUCAGGAGGAACACCCGUGGCGAAGGCGGCUUUCUGGCCCACCACUGACGCUGAGACGCGAAAGCUAGGGGAGCGAACGGG
RNAcentral lists this ribosomal RNA (253 nucleotides) under uncultured bacterium. RNAcentral's name for it is "partial 16S ribosomal RNA". It matches the Rfam family "Bacterial small subunit ribosomal RNA", at positions 524 to 776 of the family's 1533-position model. RNAcentral also lists the same sequence under 1 other name. The record is from RNAcentral.